GGACAUUGUUAUAUUGACAUGCAUCUUUCUACUACUUAAAUAGCUACCCUUGUUGGAGUAUCAUAUGUAGUCUUGUGGACUAAACACUGCAGUGUUUGCUUGUUCGCUGACUUACCGGGAGUUUGAAUAAGGGUUCACAUCAAUUUCAUCAGACUAGUCCGAGAUGUUGCUUGACACAGUGGUUGGAGGACGCAUAUGGGAGGCCUCCAGCUAACUAGCUAGCUAGUAGAUGCUUCAUCACAGAACUAGAAGUGAGGAGGAGAGCGCGGACACCCCGGUCAUAAAGCACUAUUGGGAGCAGGCCUAUUUAUAGCUGACUACCGCCACCACCACCACCCUGCAGCCUGAAAGUCACACCAGGAGAUUUUGGGAGUGAAGUCCUUGAGCUACUCUGUCAAUGCGAAGCAUUGCAGUGACAAGUUUGCAGAUGAGUGCAGAGAGAGACCUGCGAGGGUGGCUGGGAGACAAGACGGGGGUCGUUGGAACUCAUCAUGGUGGUGAGUGAUCAUCUGUGCCCUCCAAGGGUUGGGCUGUCCUGCUGCCUGCGCUCAUCUGUCCAUUCAACCAGUUAGUUUCAGCACUCGUAUAACCCA
Molecule: long non-coding RNA, 593 nt
Organism: Perca flavescens (yellow perch)
Lineage: Eukaryota; Metazoa; Chordata; Actinopteri; Perciformes; Percidae
Exons: 5
Source: RefSeq, a predicted model, not a curated record